Long non-coding RNA from Labrus mixtus (cuckoo wrasse), 330 nucleotides. RefSeq lists it as uncharacterized. Lineage: Eukaryota; Metazoa; Chordata; Actinopteri; Labriformes; Labridae. The transcript has 3 exons. The record is from RefSeq and is a predicted model, not a curated record.
GCGUCCGUUGCCAUGGUUACGAUAAGGGGAGGAAGACACCGAACAAGCGUUUGUACUUGUAAGCAGUUUAGCGCAGCGAUAGCUUUGUUGGCAUCGUUUAUUUUCUGCGUUUGUUACCAGAGAGAGUUUAUUUUUCGGUAGAUGGAACAAAUGAGCGGUGAAUCACCCAACAACAAGCUUAGACCUCUUAUUCAUCCAGAGAACAAGAAGCCCAAAGCUGCAGAGGAGCUGAACAUCCUGGGUGAUGAUCGGUCCAGCAACUCUGACCUCCAGACUCUGGCCACUCACCCACAAGAUGCUAAUAAACUUCACAUCCCAAAGCCACCCAAG